Molecule: ribosomal RNA, 252 nt
Filed under: uncultured bacterium
Lineage: Bacteria
Description: partial 16S ribosomal RNA
Rfam family: Bacterial small subunit ribosomal RNA
Source: RNAcentral
UACGUAGGGUCCGAGCGUUGUCCGGAAUUACUGGGCGUAAAGAGCUCGUAGGUGGUUUGUCGCGUUGUUCGUGAAAACUCACAGCUCAACUGUGGGCGUGCGGGCGAUACGGGCAGACUGGAGUACUGCAGGGGAGACUGGAAUUCCUGGUGUAGCGGUGGAAUGCGCAGAUAUCAGGAGGAACACCGGUGGCGAAGGCGGGUCUCUGGGCAGUAACUGACGCUGAGGAGCGAAAGCGUGGGGAGCGAACAG